RNA transcript from Oncorhynchus tshawytscha (Chinook salmon), 1755 nucleotides. It is a transcript of the gene named protein-L-isoaspartate (D-aspartate) O-methyltransferase, with no coding region annotated. Lineage: Eukaryota; Metazoa; Chordata; Actinopteri; Salmoniformes; Salmonidae. The transcript is spliced from 8 exons. The record is from RefSeq and is a predicted model, not a curated record.
CUAACCGUGUGGAAAAAGCUGCAAACUGCGAAUUAUGUCGCGUGACGUUUCCCCUCUAUCUUUUUAGGAGGUUGUCAGUUUCGUAGGCAAAGGAGUUGGCGCAGGCGCGGCACUGACAGAGGCUCUCUACCUGCUCCGCAGUGUGUGUAACAAUGGCCUGGAAAUCAGGAGGAGCCAGCCACGCAGAGCUUGUAAACAACCUUCGCAAAAAUGGGAUCAUCAAGUCAGACAAGGUCUAUGAAGUCAUGUUGGCCACAGACCGAGGCCAUUUCUCCAGAAGCAACCCCUACAUGGACUCCCCACAGUCAAUAGGCUAUCAAGCAACCAUCAGUGCGCCACACAUGCACGCCUAUGCGUUGGAGCUACUGCAUGAUCAGCUGUAUGAUGGGGCCAAAGCUCUGGAUGUUGGGUCUGGCAGUGGAAUCCUAUCUGCAUGCUUUGCACGAAUGGUAGGUCCCAAAGGGAAGGUGAUAGGAAUUGACCACAUCAAGGAACUGGUAGAUGAUUCUAUUAACAAUGUAAAGAAAGAUGACCCCAGCUUGAUAACAUCUGGUCGAGUCAAACUAAUAGUGGGAGACGGGCGGAUGGGCCAUCCAGAGGAGGCGCCUUAUGAUGCCAUCCACGUGGGCGCGGCAGCACCCAACGUGCCACAAGCACUCCUGGACCAGCUGAAGCCAGGCGGCAGGCUGAUUCUGCCCGUGGGGCCGGCUGGAGGGAACCAGAUGCUGGAGCAGUACGACAAGUUGGAGGACGGCAGCACCAAGAUGAAGCCCCUGAUGGGGGUGAUUUACGUGCCUUUAACAGACAAAGAGAAGCAGUGGUCCAGGUGGAAGUGACUUCCUACUCUCUCUCCCCCCUCUCUCCUUCACACAGUGGGCAACGGUGAAAUGGGAUGAACUUUGAGGCGACAGACUGUCCAUAUUCCACAUUUCAAUGUGAACCUGGAGGAGACUACUUUGGGUUCCAACAACAGCCAUUGGAUUUCUUUGAAAACAACAAACCAUGGUGAUUUUGUUUUUUCUCCUUUAACUCUACCUAGAGUAUCAUGCUGAGGAAUAACCCCUGAGGUCGGAAUAACGACUGCUGGAGAUUGUUUAAAAUAUAUAUAUUGGCCUGCAUUUUUUUGGUUGUGAAUUUUCCUUUUGAUUUGCUGCAAGAUUGAGUUUGUGGUUACAUCUUGAUUUGCAAAUCAACCAUUUCACAAUAAUGCAUUUCAGCUCCAAACAAAGCUGAGUGUAAAGACUGUUCUGAUGAGGAAAGCCUGAGAUGAAGAGAUUAUUCAGCCACUUACUGUAGAGUGCAUCUGAAGAUCUGACUAGAUAUCUGUACUGCUGCUCUGCUAACAUAUAUCAGUGUCGUCGCCUAAUAGGAAGUGAAUGGGCAAUGAUGUAUUGGGUUAUUUAUGAGUCACUUAUUGUAAGUAAGAAUAGAAGAUGUUUCUUAACAAUUCUACAUUCAUGUGGAUGUUAUGGGUGAUCUUGAACAAAUUGUGAAUAGUGAUGAGUGAGAAGGUUACAGGUACCAUGACAAGACUGCAAGCUUUACUGAUUACCGACACUAAACAAAGCAGAGCCAUACAUAUAUUAUAUUAUAUAUAUAUAUGUGUGUGAGUGUGAAACAAGGUAGCCGGUGCGUUGCCAAAAUACAUUUUAAUGCAAAGUGAUUGAAUGUCUUUAAAAAAAUUGAAUAUUGGAUGAGCUAUGGCUUUCACAAUUUCUGGAAUGGCAAAAAUGAAAAUAAAAAUAUGCUUAUGUU